CCCUCGGUUGCUCAGUUGGAUAGAGCGUCUGCCAUGCAAGCAGGAGAUCCCGGGAUCGAGUCCCGGCCGAGGGA
This 74-nucleotide transfer RNA is filed under the name Schistocerca americana (American grasshopper). RNAcentral describes it as "tRNA-Ala". The record is from RNAcentral. Lineage: Eukaryota; Metazoa; Arthropoda; Insecta; Orthoptera; Acrididae.